GAGUUUGAUCGUGGCUCAGGAUGAACGCUGGCGGCGUGCCUAAUACAUGCAAGUCGAGCGAACGGACGAGAAGCUUGCUUCUCUGAUGUUAGCGGCGGACGGGUGAGUAACACGUGGAUAACCUACCUAUAAGACUGGGAUAACUUCGGGAAACCGGAGCUAAUACCGGAUAAUAUUUUGAACCGCAUGGUUCAAAAGUGAAAGACGGUCUUGCUGUCACUUAUAGAUGGAUCCGCGCUGCAUUAGCUAGUUGGUAAGGUAACGGCUUACCAAGGCUAACGAUGCAUAGCCGACCUGAGAGGGUGAUCGGCCACACUGGAACUGAGACACGGUCCAGACUCCUACGGGAGGCAGCAGUAGGGAAUCUUCCGCAAUGGGCGAAAGCCUGACGGAGCAACGCCGCGUGAGUGAUGAAGGUCUUCGGAUCGUAAAACUCUGUUAUUAGGGAAGAACAUAUGUGUAAGU
RNAcentral lists this ribosomal RNA (465 nucleotides) under uncultured microorganism. RNAcentral's name for it is "bacterial SSU rRNA". It matches the Rfam family "Bacterial small subunit ribosomal RNA", at positions 9 to 462 of the family's 1533-position model. The record is from RNAcentral.